This 1090-nucleotide long non-coding RNA is filed under the name Capsella rubella. Its description in RNAcentral is "long non-coding RNA (CRUB_LNC001714)". Lineage: Eukaryota; Viridiplantae; Streptophyta; Magnoliopsida; Brassicales; Brassicaceae. The record is from RNAcentral.
UAAAAAGAUAAAAUUAUUAGUGAAUUUGUCCGCUACAUGUAAUAAUUGUGUAUGAUCAAAUCUAAUCGUCGCACGUAUUUUCGACUGUUGUAACCAUCGUAACUUUUUUUUUAAAGGCUUUUUAUUGAAAAAGGCCCCUUAAUGGGCUGGGCUUUGGCCUUAUAAUAAAAAACAAAGGAAAACAAAUUAGAGGGUUAAUCGUUGCCGGAAAAGAGGCUCUGGACAUAUUGACACUGUGUCGCAGAAGAUCCAGCCAUUAAAUCCGGCGGAAGCGAGAUCUACGGCUUUGUGACGGACCGAGUUAUCUAGGCAACGGAGAGGAAGCGACCGUCUCCUGAUUCCGUUUCUUUUCCCCCGGCCAACCAACCCACUACAAAUCUCCCGGAAAAGCCCACCCUCCGACGACUCAGCACGUUGUAGUCAGCUCCUGACCAAGCGAACCGACUACUUCCAAACUAACCCCUCCUUCCCUGCUCUGGCAACCAUCCAAUCACCGGACCAAACUCCUUUUAACCGGCCAUGGGGAAGCAAGUCGCGGUGAUGAUCGGAAGCUCAAACAAAAUCAAUCCAUGACGGCCAUCAAGAUCCCGACGGAUCUACCGUUAACCACCAUGACGAUUUGACCUAACCCACCUUCUCUCCCGCCGACUUCCGCCAUGGCUGCACAACCGACCAAUUGGGUGAGCCACGAACCACCUUUGCUACCCCUAACCAGCGUCUUCAAACCGGUGGAGUUUCAGCAAAAGUCUUCUACCAAAUCGCCGGAUCUAAAACCACAUCGAGAGGAGAGGAACCCACCGCUGUCGACCGAGAAGAAGUCUGGUCCGCCUCUGCUUCUCAAGGUAGAACCAAAGGAAUCACGAUCAAAGCCACUAAGAACAGAUCUGAAUCAAAGAUUGAACUAGAAGAGAGAGAAAGAGCUUUUCGCCUAGAUUUUUCUUGGUUACCAAUAACUUUAAUUGUGGAUUUGUGGUCAUGCCUAAUAAUAAUCAUGGAAAUGAUCUGUACGUGUACUCGUGUAGACGAAAGUCAUAACUGAACUCCAAAUGGAAAAUGUUAACAAAGUAUCAUUGACGAAUGCAUGUGAUAU